ACAAAUAGUAGCUCGCGUGGCGUAAUGGCAACGCGUCUGACUUCUAAUCAGAAGAUUAUGGGUUCGACCCCCAUCGUGAGUGCUUUGUUUCUUCCGUGAUAGUUUAAUGGUCAGAAUGGGCGCUUGUCGCGUGCCAGAUCGGGGUUCAAUUCCCCGUCGCGGAGAUUUUU
This 170-nucleotide transfer RNA is filed under the name Saccharomyces cerevisiae (brewer's yeast). The stretch from base 11 to 82 matches the Rfam family "tRNA". Lineage: Eukaryota; Fungi; Ascomycota; Saccharomycetes; Saccharomycetales; Saccharomycetaceae. The record is from RNAcentral.